RNAcentral lists this ribosomal RNA (497 nucleotides) under uncultured bacterium. Its description in RNAcentral is "partial 16S ribosomal RNA". It matches the Rfam family "Bacterial small subunit ribosomal RNA", at positions 28 to 507 of the family's 1533-position model. The record is from RNAcentral.
GAUGAACGCUGGCGGCGUGCCUAAUACAUGCAAGUCGAGCGAACGGACGAGAAGCUUGCUUCUCUGAUGUUAGCGGCGGACGGGUGAGUAACACGUGGAUAACCUACCUAUAAGACUGGGAUAACUUCGGGAAACCGGAGCUAAUACCGGAUAAUAUUUUGAACCGCAUGGUUCAAAAGUGAAAGACGGUCUUGCUGUCACUUAUAGGUGGAUCCGCGCUGCAUUAGCUAGUUGGUAAGGUAACGGCUUACCAAGGCAACGAUGCAUAGCCGACCUGAGAGGGUGAUCGGCCACACUGGAACUGAGACACGGUCCAGACUCCUACGGGAGGCAGCAGUAGGGAAUCUUCCGCAAUGGGCGAAAGCCUGACGGAGCAACGCCGAGUGAGUGAUGAAGGUCUUCGGAUCGUAAAACUCUGUCAUUAGGGAAGAACAGAUGUGUAAGUAACUGUGCACAUCUUGACGGUACCUAAUCAGAAAGCCACGGCUAACUACGUG